CUUCAGGUGAAAUCUUGGAGAUUUAGAAGACCUCGAAAGAGAUUGCUGCUUGGAGUUCUUUGCAUCAUCCUUAUACGAAAUGUGUUGCCAUGAAACAAAUGUGACAAUGAAUAUGGAAAUGCUUCAGUGAUGUGUUGUGUUGUGUUGUUGAGAUAUGAAGAAAAUGGAUCCAGUACUGGUCAUGAUACAUAGCACAAGUGCAUCUGAAUGACAGUGGAAAUGUCACUGCCAGACCAUAACAUCAUUUUUUAGAUGGGUUCAUCCUCGAAAUGAUACUUGCUUGUGUGCCUCAUCCUGCUUGUAGCUUUCUCUUUGAGCCUGCGUGAAUUUCUUUCUAUUCUGCCAUCCGUGCUGGCGUCAUUUUUCUUAUCAAUUAUGCAUGUGUCUUCCAUUGGACGAAGGAAGGAAAAAUGCUCACUGUUUGGCCAUAUUCUGGAGACUAAUAUAGCAUGGGAAGUUGCUGGUUGUGGUAGUCCUGUGUCACCCAGAAUAGAAGUCAGCCGGAACGUGUAAUUUCAGACCGAAUGAGCAGGCAAAUUAUUGGAAACUGGUGAAGGGUGUUGGAGAAAAUUGAUCUACUCCAGACUACGUAACAGAGACAUAUGUGGUCGUAGUGACAGUGGAAAUUUUACCGCCACAACCUUCCAUCAUUUACGAGGUAGCGUAUAUCAGCAUUCCCUUCUGCAGGAGUCAACUUAAUUCUUCUGCUAGUUUAGUCCUAUUUUCC
Molecule: long non-coding RNA, 727 nt
Organism: Cryptotermes secundus
Lineage: Eukaryota; Metazoa; Arthropoda; Insecta; Blattodea; Kalotermitidae
Exons: 3
Source: RefSeq, a predicted model, not a curated record